GCAACUGACUUGAAGUACAUAGUGCCCUUUCGGCCAAUGCCUUGUGCUGCACUAUGUAUGCUCAACUGUCAAUUGCCAGAUGAAACUGACGGAUUCCAAGAAUACAGUGACUGCAUUUUUGUCACUGCGUUCAUUUCACCCCGUCUACAU
Molecule: small nucleolar RNA, 150 nt
Filed under: Drosophila mojavensis
Lineage: Eukaryota; Metazoa; Arthropoda; Insecta; Diptera; Drosophilidae
Description: snoRNA:GI25310
Source: RNAcentral